This 788-nucleotide ribosomal RNA is filed under the name uncultured bacterium. RNAcentral describes it as "SSU rRNA". It matches the Rfam family "Bacterial small subunit ribosomal RNA", at positions 70 to 853 of the family's 1533-position model. The record is from RNAcentral.
AGGUAAGUACUUGUACUUAUGCUGACGAGUGGCGGACGGGUGAGUAAUGCUUGGGAAUCUGGCUUAUGGAGGGGGAUAACUACGGGAAACUGUAGCUAAUACCGCGUAAUAUCUUCGGAUUAAAGGGUGGGACCUUCGGGCCACCUGCCAUGAGAUGAGCCCAAGUGGGAUUAGGUAGUUGGUUAGGUAAAGGCUGACCAAGCCGACGAUCUCUAGCUGGUCUGAGAGGAUGACCAGCCACACUGGAACUGAGACACGGUCCAGACUCCUACGGGAGGCAGCAGUGGGGAAUAUUGCACAAUGGGGGGAACCCUGAUGCAGCCAUGCCGCGUGAAUGAAGAAGGCCUUCGGGUUGUAAAGUUCUUUCGGUAGCGAGGAAGGCAUCUAGUUUAAUAGACUAGGUGAUUGACGUUAACUACAGAAGAAGCACCGGCUAACUCCGUGCCAGCAGCCGCGGUAAUACGGAGGGUGCGAGCGUUAAUCGGAAUAACUGGGCGUAAAGGGCACGCAGGCGGUGACUUAAGUGAGAUGUGAAAGCCCCGAGCUUAACUUGGGAAUUGCAUUUCAUACUGGGUCGCUAGAGUACUUUAGGGAGGGGUAGAAUUCCACGUGUAGCGGUGAAAUGCGUAGAGAUGUGGAGGAAUACCGAAGGCGAAGGCAGCCCCUUGGGAAUGUACUGACGCUCAUGUGCGAAAGCGUGGGGAGCAAACAGGAUUAGAUACCCUGGUAGUCCACGCUGUAAACGAUGUCGAUUUGGGGAUUGGGCUUUAAGCUUGGUGCCCGUAGCU